Molecule: long non-coding RNA, 1386 nt
Filed under: Salvator merianae (Argentine black and white tegu)
Lineage: Eukaryota; Metazoa; Chordata; Lepidosauria; Squamata; Teiidae
Description: lncRNA (ENSSMRG00000019825.1)
Source: RNAcentral
UUCAGGGUAAGAGGCUCCUGAACCGCUUGGAGUUGCAGAGUCUGUCGGGAUGCCAGCCAAUCUGGUACCCACUUCCAGGACUUUCCAGCACUGCCAAGAGAUGCUGGGGUCAGGGGCCUUCUUUCCCGUGCUGUUUCCUUUUAGCCUUCCCUGGUCUGACAUUCCAUGGCAGCUCAGCUGACCUUGGGGGUCUGGAGGGGGGGCUCAGAACCCCCCAUGCCCUGGGGACUGGCAACUGGAAGGUGUUGCAGUCUGUUCUGGUGCCAAAGAAAGGUGGCAUGGAUGAUCUGGCCAUUUGCUAUCCUAAAUUCAGCACAGUUGGUGGCAAAAGACUGCACUGUGCCUUUUUUCCCAGGGCCAUAGAGUUUUACUGGGUCCUUGCUGUAGCUAAACUAAAUGUGUGAGAUGUUUGAAUUCAGUCUGGAGGAAAUUUCACUUGACGCCUUUAUGGUGUCUCAGUGUUAUAUUUUCUGAGCCAUGGAGUUUACCAGGUUCAGGUUCACCCUGCAUCAAAUUUAAAUGCAAGAGAUGCUUGGAUUUCAAUAUAUAGCAAAUUAUAAUUCACACCUUUAAGGUGUUCGAACCUUAUUUUUGCUGGGCCAUAAUUUACAGGUUCCAUGCAGUAGCUAAGUUAAACGCAAGAGAUACUUGAAGUGAAAUUUGUAAGAAUUAGUGCACUUGGCAUCUUUAUGGUGCCGUUCCACCAUAGAUUUUACUAGGUCAAUGGUGCAGCUAAAGUAAAUGCACGAGAUGCUUUAAUUUCAAUCUGUAGAUAGCUGCAAUUAGCACCUGAACCUGGGCCAUAGAGUUUUACUGGGUCCUUGCUACGGCUAAACUCAAUACAUCAGGUGCUUGAAUUUCCAUCUGGAGAAAAUUGCAAUUAGGACUUGAACCCUGUUCUUGCUGGGCCGUACUGGGUCCUUGCUGCAGCUAAUCUAAAGGCAUGAGAUGCUUGAAUUUCAGUCUGUAGGGAAUUGCAGUUGAUACCUUUAUGGUAUAACAGUCAUAAUCCUCAUAAAGGAUUCCUGGCAUCAGGCUGCAGCUAAACAAAAUAACUCACAUUUCCCCCCAAAGCUAAAAGAAGGAGAGACCACGGAAGCAGCCCGGAAGCUGGAAGAGGCCUCUUCUGAUAUCUACAGGACUUCCACAGUAUGCGUGAGUCCCCUGAUUCAUUUUCUUGCUGUUUUGUCCUGGCAGCUAGGAAAUGCGAUUGUCUCCAUGCUGCAUUUUGGCACUGUGGCAGCCUUCGCUUGGGACUCCAAAUCCAGGGAACCAGCAAAGCAUCUGAAGACUUUCAUGUACAUCUAUCAACACUUGAACCUCAGUGUCGUCAUUGGAGCUCCGGAAGAUGAAGAUGCAUCACCAUGGCCCCUUAAUAAUGUAGUU